Long non-coding RNA from Corticium candelabrum, 253 nucleotides. RefSeq lists it as uncharacterized. The record is from RefSeq and is a predicted model, not a curated record. NCBI's taxonomy places the organism in Eukaryota, Metazoa, Porifera, Homoscleromorpha, Homosclerophorida, Plakinidae. The transcript has 3 exons.
AGGAAAUUGUAGAAGACAAGAAUUCCAUUGCUGCAUGUUUCAGAAGAAUGAAAGUGAGAGAGCAUACCAUUGCAAUAGAUGUAAAUGAAAAACUUGAUGUGAUUAAAGGGCUUGGAGAAGGAGUAGAGACAAAGUUAUCACAAAGACCACAAUUGGCAGAGUUAACUGCAUACAGUCACUCAUUGAUAGAAGGAUUACAAGCAAGAGUAGCUAAUCUCAAGCUUUCUAGGAAAAUACCUAAAAUGGGUUCAAU